RNAcentral lists this ribosomal RNA (547 nucleotides) under Tephritis postica. Its description in RNAcentral is "partial large subunit ribosomal RNA". The stretch from base 400 to 547 matches the Rfam family "Bacterial large subunit ribosomal RNA", at positions 2473 to 2620 of the family's 2925-position model. The record is from RNAcentral. Lineage: Eukaryota; Metazoa; Arthropoda; Insecta; Diptera; Tephritidae.
CAAAAACAUGUNUUUUUGAGUUAUUUUUAAAGUNUAACCUGCCCAAUGAAUAAAUUUUUAAUGGCCGCAGUAAUUUGACUGUGCAAAGGUAGCAUAAUAAUUAGUCUUUUAAUUGAAGGCUUGUAUGAAUGGUUGGACGAAGUAUAAUCUGUUUCAUUUAAAUUUAUUAUAGAAUUUUAUAUUUUAGUAAAAAAGCUAAAAUUUUUUUAAAAGACGAGAAGACCCUAUAAAUCUUUAUAAUCUAUUUUCAAUUUUUUUUUUUUGAUUUAUUUUAUUUUAAUAAUUUAGAUUAUUUUAUUGGGGUGAUAUUAAAAUUUAAAUAACUUUUAAUUUUUUUUUAACAUUAAUUUAUGAUUUAUUGAUCCAUUAAUAAUGAUUAUAAGAAUAAGUUACUUUAGGGAUAACAGCGUAAUUUUUUUGGAGAGUUCUUAUUGAUAAAAAAGUUUGCGACCUCGAUGUUGGAUUAAGAUAUAAUUUUAGGUGUAGUUGCUUAAAUAAUAAGUCUGUUCGACUUUUAAAUUCUUACAUGAUCUGAGUUCAAACCGGA